RNAcentral lists this long non-coding RNA (685 nucleotides) under Brassica napus (rape). RNAcentral's name for it is "long non-coding RNA (BNAP_LNC026176)". Lineage: Eukaryota; Viridiplantae; Streptophyta; Magnoliopsida; Brassicales; Brassicaceae. The record is from RNAcentral.
CAGACAACUCAAAAACCAAAAAUAUCUACUGCAAAAUAAAGCUUAGCCUAAAUGCUAAUAGAUAUAGGUCAAAAUAUGUCCUGGUCGAAUUGUAGGAAAAUCAAACCGAAAAAAGGAAAAAAUAUUGGUAGUUUUCCUUUCUCUCUCACAUGUUAAAACGGAAGACAGAGCAGUCUUGCUAAAACCACGCAUAACUUUUGAUAUAACCAAUGGACUGACCUCAGACUGGUGGCAUUGGAAAUCUAAUUAAAAUAUAUAUCUUGUGUCAAAUUUUGAGCUUCAUGCAUCAGUGGGAAGUCCUCCAUCCCUUGCUAAUUAUGAUGCUUCUGUAUAGCUCUGCAUCUUCAAUUUCUCUUUUUGCAUCCAAUUCGACCUCUUUUGUUCCAAGUAGAUCAAAAACCUAUAAAUACUCGAUCAAAUAAUAAGUAUAACACUCGUGUCAUUCUCACUCGAGACUAGCGUGUUACCAACAAUAUUUUGUAUCUCAAAAACCAUAAAAGGGGGUGAAAGUUGACUUUCAUAUUAAUAACACAAUAAAUCCAUAAAUCCAAUAACCAAAAUAGCUGAAAUAAUAGUUGGAAAUAGUAAAACGAAAGUCUGAAAAAAAAAAGAAGAAAACGCCCGAAAACACCAUACGUACGGUCAGUAUCCUACUCGUCAGUCUCACCUGCAUGAGAGGAAAGAG